Molecule: ribosomal RNA, 1190 nt
Filed under: metagenome
Description: bacterial SSU rRNA
Rfam family: Bacterial small subunit ribosomal RNA
Source: RNAcentral
CGGCCACAUUGGGACUGAGACACGGCCCAGACUCCUACGGGAGGCAGCAGUGGGGAAUAUUGCACAAUGGGGGAAACCCUGAUGCAGCGACGCCGCGUGGAGGGAGAAGGUCUUCGGAUUGUAAACUCCUGUUGUUGAGGAAGAUAAUGACGGUACUCAACAAGGAAGUGACGGCUAACUACGUGCCAGCAGCCGCGGUAAAACGUAGGUCACAAGCGUUGUCCGGAAUUACUGGGUGUAAAGGGAGCGCAGGCGGGCGAUCAAGUUGGAAGUGAAAUCCAUGGGCUCAACCCAUGAACUGCUUUCAAAACUGAUUGUCUUGAGUAGUGCAGAGGUAGGCGGAAUUCCCGGUGUAGCGGUGGAAUGCGUAGAUAUCGGGAGGAACACCAGUGGCGAAGGCGGCCUACUGGGCACCAACUGACGCUGAGGCUCGAAAGUGUGGGUAGCAAACAGGAUUAGAUACCCUGGUAGUCCACACCGUAAACGAUGAUUACUAGGUGUUGGAGGAUUGACCCCUUCAGUGCCGCAGUUAACACAAUAAGUAAUCCACCUGGGGAGUACGACCGCAAGGUUGAAACUCAAAGGAAUUGACGGGGGCCCGCACAAGCAGUGGAGUAUGUGGUUUAAUUCGACGCAACGCGAAGAACCUUACCAAGUCUUGACAUCCUGCGACGAUGCUAGAAAUAGUAUUUUCCUUCGGGACGCAGAGACAGGUGGUGCAUGGUUGUCGUCAGCUCGUGUCGUGAGAUGUUGGGUUAAGUCCCGCAACGAGCGCAACCCUUAUGGUCAGUUACUACGCAAGAGGACUCUGGCCAGACUGCCGUUGACAAAACGGAGGAAGGUGGGGAUGACGUCAAAUCAUCAUGCCCUUUAUGACUUGGGCUACACACGUACUACAAUGGCGUUAAACAAAGAGAAGCAAGACCGCGAGGUGGAGCAAAACUCAGAAACAACGUCCCAGUUCGGACUGCAGGCUGCAACUCGCCUGCACGAAGUCGGAAUUGCUAGUAAUCGUGGAUCAGCAUGCCACGGUGAAUACGUUCCCGGGCCUUGUACACACCGCCCGUCACACCAUGAGAGCCGGGGGGACCCGAAGUCGGUAGUCUAACCGCAAGGAGGACGCCGCCGAAGGUAAAACUGGUGAUUGGGGUGAAGUCGAAACAAGGUAGCCGUAGGAGAACCUGCGGCUG